ACUAUGAAUUUACUCUUUGUUACUGCCUUCAGGUUUCCAGAAUGUGAGUUCUCUUGUGCCCUUCCUUUUUCUGUGGUACUGGAAAUUAUGCCAGAUGGAAGAAGAUGCUUACAGAGGCAGCCACUGAACUUUGGAGGGCUCCUGCCAGGUGCCACAUGACGGAAAGGAGGGGGCAAGCUCCCAUUGCAAUAACAAAUGAUAAAAAAGGGGCUUUGAAGAGCUGUUUGACAAUUCAUCACAACUGUCAAAUACAAGAAGCAACAAUACAAAGAUCUUUAGGCUCACCAAGAGCAGUCCGACCAUGUGUCUGUCAGCUAGAAACACCUAAAACAUCACAAGUGGGGGAGGCAGCUAUGAAAGGACAAGAAACGCCAGCAUUUUAUUAA
Molecule: long non-coding RNA, 386 nt
Filed under: Anolis carolinensis (green anole)
Lineage: Eukaryota; Metazoa; Chordata; Lepidosauria; Squamata; Anolidae
Description: lncRNA (ENSACAG00000034951.1)
Source: RNAcentral